Molecule: transfer RNA, 90 nt
Filed under: compost metagenome
Description: tRNA-Ser
Rfam family: tRNA
About the family: Transfer RNA (tRNA) molecules are approximately 80 nucleotides in length. Their secondary structure includes four short double-helical elements and three loops (D, anti-codon, and T loops). Further hydrogen bonds mediate the characteristic L-shaped molecular structure. tRNAs have two regions of fundamental functional importance: the anti-codon, which is responsible for specific mRNA codon recognition, and the 3' end, to which the tRNAs corresponding amino acid is attached (by aminoacyl-tRNA synthetases). tRNAs cope with the degeneracy of the genetic code in two manners: having more than one tRNA (with a specific anti-codon) for a particular amino acid; and 'wobble' base-pairing, i.e. permitting non-standard base-pairing at the 3rd anti-codon position.
Source: RNAcentral
GGUAGAGUGACAGAGCGGCCGAUUGUGGCUCCCUGCUAAGGAGUUUAGUACGAAAGUGCUACGAGGGUUCGAAUCCCUCCUCUACCUCCA